ACGAACGCUGGCGCGUGCGUUAAACACAUGCAAAGUCGAACGAGAAGAGAUGAGAAGCUUGCUUCUAUCAAUUCGAGUGGCAAACGGGUGAGUAACGCGUAAGCAACCUGCCCUUCAGAUGGGGACAACAGGCUGGAAACGGCUGCUAAUACCGAAUACGUUCUUUUUGUCGCAUGGCAGAGGGAAGAAAGGGAGGCUCUUCGGAGCUUUCGCUGAAGAGGGGCUUGCGUCUGAUUAGCUAGUUGGAGGGGUAACAGCCCACCAAGGCGACGAUCAGUAGCCGGUCUGAGAGGAUGAACGGCCACAUUGGGACUGAGACACGGCCCAGACUCCUACGGGAGGCAGCAGUGGGGAAUCUUCCGCAAUGGACGAAAGUCUGACGGAGCAACGCCGCGUGAACGAUGACGGCCUUCGGGUUGUAAAGUUCUGUUAUACGGGACGAAUGGCGUAGCGGUCAAUACCCGUUACGAGUGACGGUACCGUAAGAGAAAGCCACGGCUAACUACGUG
Molecule: ribosomal RNA, 509 nt
Filed under: uncultured bacterium
Lineage: Bacteria
Description: bacterial SSU rRNA
Rfam family: Bacterial small subunit ribosomal RNA
Source: RNAcentral